RNAcentral lists this ribosomal RNA (412 nucleotides) under uncultured bacterium. Its description in RNAcentral is "bacterial SSU rRNA". It matches the Rfam family "Bacterial small subunit ribosomal RNA", at positions 64 to 507 of the family's 1533-position model. The record is from RNAcentral.
GAGCGGGUGUAGCAAUACAUCAGCGGCAGACGGGUGAGUAACGCGUGGGAACGUACCUUUUGGUUCGGAACAACCCCAGGGAAACUUGGGCUAAUACCGGAUAAGCCCUUACGGGGAAAGAUUUAUCGCCGAAAGAUCGGCCCGCGUCUGAUUAGCUAGUUGGUGAGGUAAUGGCUCACCAAGGCGACGACGGGUAGCCGGCCUGAGAGGGCGACCGGCCACACUGGGACUGAGACACGGCCCAGACUCCUACGGGAGGCAGCAGUGGGGAAUAUUGCGCAAUGGGCGAAAGCCUGACGCAGCGACGCCGCGUGGGGGAUGAAGGCCUUCGGGUUGUAAACCCCUUUCGACUGGGACGAAUGCCCGCAAGGGAGUGACGGUACCAGUAGAAGAAGCCCCGGCUAACUACGUG